GAUGAGGCCAUCAAGUCACAGGAAAACAAGCUCAGGGCUCCCAUUGAUUAUGGUGAGUUGUGUAAUUGUUUCAUUAUAUAUGACAACGUAAUAACAAUAGAAAUAAAGUGCAUGGUAAGUGUAAUGCACUUACACUGAAGCCAUUCCCCCUUACUGCUCCAUGGAAAAAUUACCUUCCAUGAAACUGGUCCCUGGUGCCAAAAAGGUUUGAAAUCCCUGCUCUAACCAUCCUGCCACCUUCAUUCACUUCUUGUAUGUUGUCCUGGGUUAAGUGCUGUGGAAAUGUUCAUGGGGUCUUUGUUCUACCAUCUCAAACUAUAUGCAAAUACUAAGCAACUUGGGAGAUAAAGUAUUUGGCUAGUGGGAAAAAAAAUGGAUAUUUUCAACAUUAACUAGAGUGACAGUUUGGUAAUCAGCUCUCUGAGAAAGCUUCAACAUCUUCCAAAAAUUGGCAGUGAGCUCCAGAGUGAGCUAAUUAGUCAGGAAUGACUUUUAAUACUCACUACCUUUAAUAGCCUAUCCUUGGAGAAAAGACAGAUAAUGAACACUUGGAAAUCUAUGGUGCUGCAACUUGACCUUCAUGCCAUUUGGGGGAAAUAAGAAAGAUGACUCAUAAUUUAUUAUUUAAAGUCCUCUUUUUAUAAAGGGUUGUUGUGAAAGAUUUGACAAAUAAUCAUUGCCCCUUUAGGAACUCUCAUUUAAUCAAAGAAGCAGAAAACAGGAAGAAUAGAAAACUUGUGUGACUAAGCAAUGUUUAAUUUUAUUUGAAACUGGCUCCACCACCCGGUGAUAGAGAAGGUCCUAUGGAGUCUUCCCAUGGCAAGAAACCGGGCUUGUAACAGGGUAUAAUAGAGUGACACCCCACACCUGAUGCCGUGUAAUGCAGAGUCUGCAAAUACCUCUCUUUUGAUGCUUUCUCAAGGUAAGUCAUAAAUGAGGUCUUACUGCUUUAAAAAAGCAGCUUGCCAAAAGUUGCCCAUUCACUCGCACUUAACUGAGCAACUGAAGGAAAUAUACAUUGGAAAUGGGCUCUCCUGGGAGACUGUCUGGAUCCCGAGUGUCUGGUGUUCAUGUUCACACACCUGGCAGCUGCUUCUUGCCCUUCCUUGGCUGUAGGUGUGAGCACUUGUUUGUUUAAACCUCCCUCAGCACUGCUUGGAAAAACAAAACAACUGACUUACUUGUCUGGGCAUUGAAUGAUCUUCCUGAAUUUUGGUCCUGCCCAUUGGCCCAGAGGCAUAAUAGGUGGGGCAAGUUUCGGUGUUAGUUUGGGAAGUUUCGAGAAGAAGCUAUGGGCUGGGUCUGUUAGGUUGGGGUUGCUCUUGGUUUUAAUUCUUUUGGAAUGUCUGAGGGUCAGGAGUGUUGCCAUUGAUGGCUAUGGGAGGUGUCAGGCUCUGGCUCUGUCUCUUUCUCACAGAGAAUGGCAGAGGCACCCAGGAAGGUAUUUUCCAGGGUUCUGACAGAUGUGAAGUAGCCCUCAUGCAUGUUGUGUUCUCACUUAGGCACCUGGAAGGUGUUCAGUGUAGAAAAAUCACGAGCUAGAUGACAUGACCAGCUUGAUGUCGACUUCCUCCCCAUCAGUGGCUGCCUGUCGUCUUGAUGCAUGCCAGCAGGUCAUAUCUAAGAGAAGAAGCUGUUAGUAGAUCAAGAAAUGGCUAUGGAACCAAGGAAGAAGGAUAGGAAGAACAGGAGGGGAAGUGAAAGAAAAGACAGAGAAACUUGGAGAACAGUAAACAGCAGAAGACAUCUUGGAGACCAAGACCAUAAAUGGUGCUAAGAAAAAGGCAACUCUCUACCAGUAAGAAAGAAAAAACCCCAAACAAAGGUGGUACAUCAAAGGCUGCACCUCAGUGGAGGAGAAACAGAAGUAUGCCUGCCAUCCAGCAGAUAACUCCUCAAGAUAAUAAUCUCAUAUCCUUUAGAUAUUGCUAUGAUUUGAAUGUUUGUCCCCUUCAAAACUCAGCUGAAAUUUGUUUGGUUGCUCUCGUGGCGAUGUGAGGUGAGGAGAGCUUUGGGAAGGGAUAGGACCAUGAGAGCAUUGUCCUCAUGGGAGGGUUGAAUGUUAUUAUAAAAGGGCUAGUUUGGCCCCUGUUCCUUUACUUUGUUUGGUCACACAGGGAAUGUAAUUUAAAGUCAUCCCAUGUUGGGAAUGCCCCUAGAUUACUGGAAGAAACAGAUGCAAAUCAGCUCUGGAAAAACACAACUUCAGUCUAGGCUGAGAGUGACUGUAAAAUGAAUGCUGGUUUCAGAGAUGUCAAAAUGUGAGUAUGUGUGUCUUCGAGUAGACAGUGGCAGUGAUGUUUCAGCUGGACCUAUGGUCGAGUCGCUAGAGUCUGCAUUUCCCAGUCUUCUCUGUGGCUGUGUAAGGUUGAGUGACUUACUAGGUUGAGAGCAGACUGGGAUUCCCUGGUUGGGAACUGGUGAACACCUGGACCCAGGGUGGAAGGUCCUGGUUGGAGAUAGUUGAGCUCACCACCCCAGCCUGGAUUCCUGGAUGACAUGAAACUUGGAGACAACUGUUUGUCCCAGACCAGGGGUUUACUGGAUAGCUAAGGAUCAGACAGCAAAUAUUUUAGGCCUUUCUAGCCUUAAUGUCACGGUUGUACUACUCAACUAGCUAUGUAGAAGAAAAGCAGGUAUAGCCACCAGGGAAAUGAGUGGGCAUGGUUGGGUUUCUAUGAAACUUUAUUUAUAAAACAGGCAGUAGUUUGGAUUUGACCCCCAGGCUGUCAUUGAUGACCCCUGCCCUAGCCUAUUCACACAAGUUUAGAAUACUAUGAGACAUUUAAGCUACUGUUUUAGGUUUUCUUGUUAUAGCAUCUUAGCCUACAUCCUAAUUAAUGCAGCCUUCAUUAUGGGUUGACUCCCCAAGAAGUUUUUUAACUGGCCCAACUCUUCACCCGCUUUUAAUCUCACCUAAGCUGGCGGUGGUCUUCACUUGCUGUCCCUGCUUCUGGUCUCGAAAUCCUGUGUGUCACUCUUCAACCUGACCCCAAGAUGGGUCUUUCAAGAAAUAUUCUCAUUUUCUCCUCCUUAAAAUGCUCUGAGUUUACUCAUUGCAAAGACUAAAAUAUAAUCUCAUAGAGAGCCAGAGGAGACCUGAUCUAACUACCUGCUGCCUACCUUUUCAGUUCAUGCUACAGGCAACGCUAAUCUUCAGAGAGGUUUUUGUUUGUCCGCCCCUCCUGGCUGGAAUGGCCUUCCCAACAAGGGCCUUUCAUUGCACUUCCGUUAUCUCUCACAGCUCAGUUCCACGUCUCCUUCUCUAACAGGCCCUUCUAGAUUCUCUCCCUGCUAGGAAAUGAACUACCUGCAAGCAGAGACUGUAUUUUAUAGGUUUUCAUUCCACUAGGAUCUAGCACAGAACAACAUCCGUACAUGCCUAAAUGAUUGAGCACCUCUUUCCUCUUCUGUCACUACUAGAAAAUAAAAGGAUCUCUUUACUUAGGAAAUAUAUGAUAUUUAUAAAAUCAGAGAGCAGAAUAGGUCAUUCUAUUUGGAAAGGAUAAAAGGAGGCCCACAGACCAACUAUGCUGCACAAGGUUUAUUUAUCUGUAAUUUGUUCAUUUUCAUAUCCCACUUGUGAAAGCCUACCCGCCUCCUUUCCAGCAUCCAUUCCUUCUGCCCAUCUCUACAGCAAAAAUCCUCUGCUCUGUAUUUACUCACUUUUGCCUUCAUGUCUGCAAUGGCCUUCUUUGAAACACUGUUGCCAAAACUACCAUCUGCUUAGAGGAAAUCUCGCUCUGUCUUGUCUUUUCUUUUCUUAUAUUGUGUGUCCAGUUGCUCUGCACAAAGACACAGUCACCUUGCUCUUUACUGGGUGGACUGGAUGGAAUGGGAUGUUAAGUGAAAUGUUUGUCUGAGAUACUUUUAGAAGUUAGUUGUGUGAGAGACCAUCCCAUUUUGUAAUGUUUGUCAAAAGUGAGGUGGUCAGAGCUGGAUUGACUUCUAAACCUUGUUCACACAUCAAAGGGGUGAGAUGUUAGGAAAUUAGAGUUGGGAAGGCUGUGUACAAAGAGCUGUAAGUGUGCUGUGAGUCUGCCCUUCCCCUAGGAACCCCACCAGGGAGGAGUGAGCGGUGCCUGCCCCAUCUCCAAGCCCUGCAGAAGCCUCAACAGCCCAUCCCCAGCUAGCUAAAUAUGUACCUCCUAGAGUUAUAGGGUCAGCAUGGCCUGAAGACUGACACUCUCCUGAGUAAAGGUCCGGAGGCUGGCUGGGCAGAGGUAUGAAGAAGAGCAGCAUCAGGAUUGGACCAGACCUCCCAGAGGUUGUCAGGAAGUUUCCCCUGGAUGAUAACCAGGUGCAAAUGAAAGAUGAAGCAGGGGGGUCACCUCAAGCCUUAUCUAAGGGGAUUACCUGGAAAGGCUAAUAUAGCUCUGCAAAGAGAAGCUGUAGAUGAACUAGAUUCCUAGAAACCUCAAACAACCAGCUGGGAUAGAGAUGCACAGGCCUGGGUCAAGAGAAUUGCAGGGAGAGAUCCACAUUGAUGAGGAGGUUGCCAAAAACUUCCACAAAAGCACCAGCAAGAGAAACAGUCAGCUCUACAUCACUGCCAGGCUCAGAAUGCAUGAAGCCAGCUUACAACAGUGCCAACUGGGAGAACUUUCCUUCCCCGCUUACCUCCCCUCCCUCGCUCUUCAGCAGCAGAGGGGCAGUCCAACACCAGGCAAGCAAUCUGGCAGAGGCAGAGGAGAAAUGCUAGCUGGUGAAAGGGGAGAGAUGCUGACGCUGCCCUUUCUGCAGGACUGGAGUCCUGCCCAGGACCAGGCCUCGCUGGAGGAAGGGGAGAAGGCACAAUUUGUAUGUCCUGUGCCUGCUUAGAUUCUGAUAAAGUCCUGUAGUUUCAGAUUUCUGCAUUGAGGAUGUUUGCAUUCACUAUGAGUGACCAGAAAAAUCAUAAGGACAGCCUGUAUUUUCACCAAGGGCCUGGGGGAAGCACAGAACAAAAACAUAAAACUGUUUUAUGAUUACAUUUCCCCACAUCAGGCUUGUUCACUCAAUCAAUUAAAUUUUUUCACCUGUAUUUUUAACUUGUGAAGACAGUAACGUGUUUAUUAUUCCCAGUAAUUUCUUGCCAAAAUUAAAGGAAAGAAAGAUGGAAGGCAAAAUAAUGUGCUUUUAGAACUGAGGUUGUAUUGGGAACAAAGGCAUUAUUUGCUAAGAGUAAAAAAAAAUAUGCAGGGAAAGUAAGAACUGAGCCUAUUUUCUUGUUAACUACUUUCUCAUACACUUUAAUAGUAUUUCAUAAAAGUAUCUUUCACACUUCAGACAUCUCAAAAUUAGGAAUAUGUGUUAUUUUUCGCUCCUUCUCUGCAGCUUUUUGGUGAGGAAAGCAAACAGAAUCACAGGGAAUCUAUUCAGGUAGUGAGAAUCUCAUGAAGUACAGAAGACACUCUGGUUAGGAGCAAAACCUCCUGAGGAGUUUGGCUUUAAACCCCAUGUUCUCCCUGGCAAAGUGUCUUGAUUUGAAAUCCAUUUUAAGCUAAAAUGCCAAGGGGAUAAAAUAUCUUCAGACCUAGCUUUUAGCUGGGCUGCUAAAAGGAGCCAAGUGGAAGAAAACUGGCAACCUGGAAUAUUACAGCUGAGGUUGGCUGGUGGCUGCACAGGUGUGGGCGUGACAGUGAUGUCAAUGGAUAGAACAUCACCUUCAUUUUGCCACAAAUCAAUUGCAAAAUGCCUUCCUUUUACAAGGUAUGUGUGGAAUAAAUAUUCCUGUUGCUAUGGAAUUAAAUAUGGGCAAGCUUGGCUUCAAGAACUGAGGUCUUGAUUUUAGAAAGCAGGCUCAGUGGGAGUGAGUCAGAAAGAAACAACUUUGUGAAAGGGCUACUUAUUUGUAGCAGGACUGUACCACCCCCACCAUGCUCUGAGAAUGCAAUGGGAGGCCUCUUCUAUCUCUAGCAUGUCGAUUCUGGAGCCUGCCAACACCCAUCCUUCCUAAGACAUACAUCUUACCUCUAAACUUAUUCUUAUAUCAAGAAAUAUUUGAUGGUACUGGGCAAGAUGGCUGACUAUGCAGACAGGUGGAACAGCUGCCACUGAGGGACCCGGAUGACUGGCACACUUUUAACAAAUCUUCAGAGGGAAGGCACUGAGAGUUGAUGGAGGGAAGACUCAGAAACUGCGCUGAAAGUGGAGGAAGCUGGGAACUCUGCGUGGGGUUACCAUGUACCUGGACUUGUGCCUGGUCUGCAAUGGCUCCACAGGAAUGAGUCAGUUGAACUGGUAAGGAGCAGCCCACUCUUGCCAUAGGCCUCUGGAAUCCUGGCAGGAGGAAUCCUCUUGACCACCACAGAUGCUUGCCGCACAGAGUUGGCAAACAGGCGGCUUAGAGAAGUGAUAGGGGCAGGACACCAGCCGAUGUGGAGCCCAAAGGUUUGGUGCAGCAGCAUCUGUAGCAGAGUACAGCCAGGGACACC
Sapajus apella (tufted capuchin) is the source of this 6416-nucleotide long non-coding RNA. RefSeq lists it as uncharacterized. The transcript has 3 exons. Lineage: Eukaryota; Metazoa; Chordata; Mammalia; Primates; Cebidae. The record is from RefSeq and is a predicted model, not a curated record.